GACGAACGCUGGCGGCGUGCUUAACACAUGCAAGUCGAACGGAAAGGCCCUGCUUGCUGGGUACUCGAGUGGCGAACGGGUGAGUAACACGUGGGUUAUCUGCCCUGCACUUCGGGAUAAGCCUGGGAAACUGGGUCUAAUACCGGAUAGGAGCCAUUUUUAGUGUGAUGGUUGGAAAGUUUUUUCGGUGUAGGAUGAGCUCGCGGCCUAUCGGCUUGUUGGUGGGGUAAUGGCCUACCAAGGCGGCGACGGGUAGCCGGCCUGAGAGGGUGGACAGCCACAUUGGGACUGAGAUACGGCCCAGACGCCUACGGGAGGCAGCAGUGGGGAAUAUUGCACAAUGGGCGCAAGCCGGAUGCAGCGACGCCGCGUGGGGGAUGACGGCCUUCGGGUUGUAAACUCCUUUCGCUAGGGACGAAGCUUUUUGUGACGGUACCUAGAUAAGAAGCACCGGCUAACUACGUG
RNAcentral lists this ribosomal RNA (465 nucleotides) under uncultured bacterium. RNAcentral describes it as "partial 16S ribosomal RNA". It matches the Rfam family "Bacterial small subunit ribosomal RNA", at positions 28 to 507 of the family's 1533-position model. The record is from RNAcentral.